GACCCUCUCCGCUCACCUGCCCCGGCGGGGAGGCCUCGCCGCAGAGCGCGGGGCUCCAGGGGCCGAGGCGGCCGCUCCCGCAGCCUCCGGCCGCCCCUCAUCCAGAGCCGGGCGCGCGCCGCUCCGCCGCCGCCUCGCGCGCCGCCAUCUCGGCCCCGUCACCCGGGAGACGCUCCCGCCCCUUCCGGCCGCGCCGCUCCUCUCGGUCUCGAUCCCGGAGCGCGGCCGGGCCGCGCUGCCCUCGGCGGCCUCACCGCGCCCGCCUCUGCCCCGCGGCUCGGCACAGCGGCCGCCGGGCCACGGGGGAGUCCCACCCGGGUCUUUGUCCCUUGGAGGAACUGCGAUCAAAAGACAUUGUGCUUUAGCGGACUCAAGGUGCUGCACACGUGGCAGUAAAGGUUCCCGUGUGGUCGUCGGGAUGCUGAGCUGUAAAUCUGGUUGCUACUAAAAAACAAACGCCGCUGACAGAUUCCGAGGGCAUUGCGUUCCACCCAGCUACACUGGUACUGAGGCCAACAACUUCUGCUUGUGUUCAACUAAAGUAACAUUUCUCCUUAUGGAAAGUAUUUUGGUUUUCCUUUCUCUGCUGGAAGAAACUGAGCAACUGCUGCCAGCUCCAGGGAACAUGCAUUGGCGAGUACUGUAUUUCCAGAAAGUUCUUCCAUAAAGACAUGUUGUACUCAGGAAAGCACUGAAAAAUGAAGGAUCCACCAUAUUUCUUCAUGACUUGUCUACAGAAAGACUGGGCUAAAUCAGCUACUAAAAUGUAUAUACACUGGGCUGCCAGCUAAAAGAAGUAUAUGCCCAUAGCCAAGUGUGUGGAAAAAAAACCCCUCAUCAGGACAAUGUUCUGACUGACUUCUGAACGUUACUGUUUUCAACACUCAACCAAAUGAGUAGAAACUGAGACUCUGCAGAGAACAGUUUGCAGAACAAGCUACCCUAUGCAUCUGAGAAUAAACCUGCAGGUAAAAAGAAACCAUCUCCCAUUGCUGAUAUCACUCCCAAUCUGACUUCAUUCUUAGAAGAUCCAUCAAAAUACCUCUGACCAGCACAGUCCAGUGUAAUUUGGGUCUGCACAUGUUGUCUGACAUUUCUUGCCUACCUACUGAAUUGAGGCUGCACUGGUGUUAUUGACAGAACUCAUGUGGGGAACACACGGCGUUGGGCUGCUUGUAUCAGAGAGCAGCCAGUGUUACCUGAGACAGGAGCCACCAGGCAGUCACUCUCUCCCCUUCCUUCUGGGUCUCUGAAAGCUUUUGCAUUUAAAGCCACUCUGGGCAGAACUUUACAGCUUAUUUUUGGAAGCCAGUGAAAGAGCUAUUUGUCAAACCUUUAACUUCAGAUUGGUCAGCACAAUUCUCUGAAAAUUUAUACAGCAUUCAGUCUUCAUUCUGUGCCAAGUAUGAGUUGCCUGCAGAGAACUACACUGCACUUACAGCAAUUGCACUUGAACUGUCAUGUUCUAGGUGGAAUCUCAAAUGUUUACUAAUCAGACAACAAGCCUUCCACAGUUCACUGUAUGAAUACCUUAAAUCUCAGCCUCUCCCACCACAGUGAAGGAAAUCAAGUGGAAACUCUGAAGCAAGUUGCUGUGUGUCCAUGACAUGCUGCAGCCAUUCAUCAAGCAAAGACUUUUAAAAUCCUAUGCAAUAUAUUACAUCAGCAAAGGCCUCUAAGAACAAGAAUACAGAUGGUAUUUUAUAGCUUUGACAUAUAUAAAACACACUCAACUAGCAUAUAUUUUGCUAGAUCAUGUGAAGAAACCUUCUGUAUUCCAUCAAUUACUAGUAUUGGGUAAAUCAAGUGUAGAAUGAAGAACUCAGAAAAAAUUUACAUAUAUGCAAUUUAGACAGAACAUACUUGUAGCAAAAGAAGUUGCAGUCAAAAACUGAAUUAACAUACUGUGCUGGUUUUGGUUGGGAUAGAAUUAAUUUUCUUCAUAGUAGCUAUUAUGGGGGUGUGUUUUGGAUUUGUGCUGAAAACAGUGUUAAUAUAGAGGUGUUUUUGUUAUCCCUGAGCAGAGCUUACACAAAGCCAAGGCCUCUUCUCCUUCUCACCCCACCCCACCAGCAAGGGGGCUGGGGGUGCACAAGGAGCUGGGAGGGGACACAGCUGAGACAGCUGAACCCAACUGCCCACAGGAACAUCCCAGAUCAUAUGAUGACAAGCUCAACACGUUAAGCUGGGGGAAGAAGGAAGGGGGAGAUGUUUGGAGUGAUGGCAUUUGUCUUCCAGAAUAACUUAGGAGCCCCACAUUCCUGGCGAUGGCUGAAUACCCGACUGCCAAUGGGAAGUGGUGAAUUAAUUCCUUGUUUUGCUUUGUUUGUGUGCAUGGCUUUUGCCUUACCUGUUUAACUGUCUUUAUCUCAAUCCAUGGGUGUUCUCACUUACUAUUCUGAUUCUUUGCCCCAUCCCACCGAGGGGGGAGUGAGCAAGCAGUUGUGUGGGGCUGAGUUGCUAGCUGGGGUUAAUCCAUGACACAUAAUUGAAUGCAAAAAAACUUUUUCAAAAACAAGGUGGACCUUUGAGUGGAAGAAAGAACUUUCUUAUAUCUAACACCCACCAUUAUUUGUCAGCAUGGAGACAGUGACAUGCAGCAAGUAUGCUCAAACGGACAUGAAGACAGAUUUAAAACAAUACAGCCUAGGUUGUCAGGAGGAAUAUCUUCAGCAGAUCGCUGAUCCUGGCUCCUGUGAUAUUACAGUUUUGAGUAGACAAAAGGUAUUCAUGACCAAUUACAUCCUGUCCUAUUUGAUGUUGAUAUUGCCCUGGUUACACAGACUCCUGUCUAGUACCAAAUUUCACCUUCGGCUGUUGCCAGACUCUUCUCUCCCAGCUAUUCCCCAUUUUGAGCAGACUGUAGUGCACUCAGCCUGGCACGGACAUCCUGGCGCUGCUGUUUCGCCCCAGCCCAGUGCAGGUGAUGCUCUCGGCUUAGCACUGCUCGCCUCCAGCGCGGGCAGCACACACUUGGCUCUGUACCACAGCAGUUUUUGUUCUUUCCGAAAGCCGCGGGACUGGGAGGGACUGGAGAGGGAAGGGGGAGCAGCCGCCGCCCUCCCCGUGAGUGGGGCGCGGGUGCCCCCGAGCGGCUCCUCGGCUGGGACUCACAGCGAGGACGGGACGGGCACAGCCCACUGCCACAGGAAUGACUUUCUAAAUGGCAGGUUUUAGAGUAUUCUAGUUAGGAGCAUGAAUAUUUAUGUUGGGUCAAUUAAUUUUUCACAGUAGCCACCGAGACACAACAGUAUCCAAUUCCUCAUUCAGUUUCUGCUUAUACUUCUCCUCCACUUCAUAGUCAAUCAAACACCUCAAAGAAUUUAAAAUCCAUCACGUUAAGAGACUUAUGCUGGCAAAUUACUGAAUUAUACUUCAAUUUCAGAAGGCCCCAAAGAUCUAAUAAAUAAAAAUUACCAGUAAUAUGGGCAAAGCUAGAAAAUUGUAGUUGUUGUGGAUUAGAAUACUGACUCUUUAAUUAAAGUAAACAUGAAAAUAAGAGGA
Chiroxiphia lanceolata (lance-tailed manakin) is the source of this 3504-nucleotide long non-coding RNA. RefSeq lists it as uncharacterized. The record is from RefSeq and is a predicted model, not a curated record. The transcript is spliced from 4 exons. NCBI's taxonomy places the organism in Eukaryota, Metazoa, Chordata, Aves, Passeriformes, Pipridae.